Molecule: RNA transcript, 4367 nt
Organism: Gossypium raimondii (Peruvian cotton)
Lineage: Eukaryota; Viridiplantae; Streptophyta; Magnoliopsida; Malvales; Malvaceae
Gene name: peroxisomal fatty acid beta-oxidation multifunctional protein AIM1
Exons: 5
Source: RefSeq, a predicted model, not a curated record
UCACGUAAACCUCUCUUUUCACGAUUUUUCCAAUUGGAAUCUUGGGGAUUCUUUUGGCUACAGUAUUCUUCUUUCUCUCUAGCAAUUUUUUUUUGCUCUGGGUUUUACUGUUCAUUUGCUACAUAGAUUUUAAUAUUUUUUAGCCAUCCCUUUUGGUUCCAAGAAUUUUUGCCAAUUCCCGCUUCUCAAUAUUUUGGUUGUGCUCUUGUUUUCGUGUAAUCAGGAUCUUAAGGGGGUAAGUACUGUUGUUUAGGUUUUAAUCAAUUGUUUUCGGGAAUUUUCUACACUCUUAUGAAUGGAUACUUUCUUAAUCUUUCUGUACUUGUGUAAAUUGAGUUUUCAGCUCGGUUUGGUGUAGACGAAUCGGUCGAUCUUUGGGCUAGGAAUCGUGUUUUUAAAGUGUGAGUUCUAAUCAUUUGUGAUCAGUGUGUGUGUGAGACUUCGUUAAAUGUUUUCGUACGUGUGUGCGCGCGCUGCACUUAAGCCAUAUUUUACUGUCCUUUCUACGCUAAUAGGCGGUUGGUACCUAGUCAUAUUUGUACACUUGCUUCUCCCUUCACAUUGAGUGUCUUCAUUGUAAUUAGAAUAAUGCUACUUCUUAUUGUUAGUUGCUGGCAAUUGGUUUUACAGAUAAUUUCCCAUAUUAUAUGCUUGUGGUCAUGGGAAAUGGAUCAAAUUUGUUGACCUUGCAGUUGAUUUUUUGCUACAUUUGAAUGUUCUUCCGUUAAAAUGAUUCAUCGACUUAGGCAAGAGCAGGAUUUGUCAAUUAGUAGCUAUGGCAGUUUUGAAAUCUGAAAUUGAAAAAAAAAUGUAUGCAAUUAGUGCAGAUUUUCUAGGCUGUACUAAUUUUUUUUUUGAUAGAUGAAUAUAUAGUUGCUAAUGUUGAUGGUAUUAAGUUUCUAAUUUUGAUGGAAUUACCUCUUAUAUAUUAUAAUUGCUAUUGCUUGUUUCUAUAUUUUGUUUACUGCUAUUCGUUUUACAUGCAAGUGUCGCAUAUAUAUAUACAUAAAUGGCUGCUGGUUUUUACGUAGAAAUGUUGCAUAUAUGCUGUGUUUUUUUUUUGUCUGUGUGGUCUUGUUUUUGUGGAUUUUUUUCACCUUUUUCCAAUUUAAUUUGUUUUAGUCUCGGAAAGAUCCCAUGCACGUUUAAGCCUCUAUAGGAGUAUCUGCGACACUAAUUCUGUUUGAAUUUACUUAUGCAAAUUAAAUUAUGUGUCAUGAGUUCUGUCAUUUGUAUAGAUGAUUAUGUGAUGUGGUAUGUUAAAAUUCGCAAUAUGAAAGAGUUGAAUGUGAUAAUCGGAAAAUUUAGCACUGUUUAUUCUGGUAUUGUAGUUGAGCCAGGAAAUGUCUGAUUUGAUAUUUGAUAUGUAUUUAUAAGUAUCUGUUUUGAGAGAAUUUUUCAUAUGCAUUGUGGUUGGGAUUGACAUUGAAGAGAAGGAAGUUUGGUUCAGCAGUUUCACUGCAAAACUAUAUUUUCGCAGUAUAACCGCAAUAAUAAAAGUGGCAUAUGACCACAUUACGUUGUGUUCGGAUGGAUGGGUACUCCAUAAACCAAAUAUUGGUGUGUAGAGGUUGGAAAUGGUUUAGUACACCCUAUUUUGGUGUGUGAUGGAUGGUUGAAGGUGGUGUGUAGAGAUUGGAUAGGUGGGAUACUGCAUCACAUGAUAUGAAAUUGUGUUGUACAUAUUUGCUUUGCGUCACAAUAAUAUGUUAUGUUAAAUUUGUUAUGAUUUUUAUCUGUGUUUUUAUUAUGGUAUUGUUAAAAGUUGAUCGAUCAUUUAUUGUCACAUCGACUACUUCUGUUUAAGACUCAAACCGAGCUGGACUUGGCAAGUCGGAGGUCUCAGAAUGAUAUGUUUGGUUCGACUUAUUAAAGUCUUGCAUAAUUUUUUUUAAUAAAUUGUUCGGACUGUACAUGAAUUCUUUUUAUGAAUUGUGGUAUGAAUUUCAACUUUGGACUAUCAUUAAGGUUUUAGGAUUUUGGUUUUGAACUUAAACUGUGAUUUCGCACAUGUUUUUCCCUAACUGCACUACUUCUUUUCCUUAUCUAUUAAUUGUUCAGUUUUCAAGUGUUAAUUUAUGGAUUUUAAAUUUUUCCGUCACAAAUUUUUGGUUUUGUUGAACUUCGGUUAGCGAAAUUAUUAAUCUAAUUUUGUUUUCAAGGUUAUUACGAGUAAUUGAAUUUGGUUUUGGACAAAUUUUGAGUGAUAAAUUGAUUUAAUGUGUUUGCAAAAUUAUAAACAAAGCUCAAUUAAGUUUUUGGUAAAAUAAGAGAAAAUAUGGGUUUUCGUAAGGUUUUUGACAAAUUUAUUUGGUGUUUAAUAGAGGGCCAUAUUUCAUUGGCCAACUUAACCUCCGGAAUCUGGUCAAAACUUCUGGGCCAAGCUUUGGGGGUUAUAGAUUUUAUGUUGAUUUUUGGAUUGAAUAUGGUAGAUCUCGUAUUUCUUGGCUAAGCUUUGGUUAUAAAGUGAUUUAUAACCCAUUUUGAUAUAAUUAAAAGGUAUUUGAUUUUAAUUUACUACCCUUAAUGAAUGUAAGCAAAUUGAAUGUUUUCCCCUAUUUAAAGAUCACUUAAGCUUGAUUUUUUCGAACAAAUUAGACCAGUGUAAUUGGGUAAAAUUGAUUAUUUAGAUAUGUAAUUAGAUGAUAUUUAGGAUGUUUGGAAUCGAAAUUAAGGUUUAGAAACUAGAUUUGAGUGGUGAAAUUGCAUUUUCGGCAAAACUAGUUAGUUUCUGAUAAGUAUGAUAGAUGUGUUGUGGUAUGCAUUUUUUAGAUGAUUUAAAUGUGUCUGAGGUUGUUUAUAAUAUGUUUGUAAUGUAUUUAAUGUGUAUACAAAGUUUUAGACUCAUUGGGAGAUUCUACAAGCAAGGACAAAGGCAAACAAUGGCUUAUUUAAAGUCAAGAUUGUAAGGUAAGUGGUUUGGUGCGCUACAAUUAAUCACAAAUCAAAAUCCAUGUUGCCAAUACACCCCUAAUCGGUGGGCCCCACUUAUUACGCCUCUAAUCUGUUGUUUGGUUCAAUGUAUUGCUAUUACGGGGCUAAACCAUUACUGACCUAAUCGGUGAAAUCCACCGAUUUCUAAUCCCUCCCUUUUGCUCAGUUUAGAUGCUGCUUCAGUUUACCCUCCCUGUUUUACCCUCCCAGUCUUCUUCUUUCAGCUCCCUCUUUGAACAAGUCUUUAACACCCAUUUCCCCAUUUCCCGUUUCCCCUUUUUCCCAAAUUAGAAUCUCUAACCCCGUGCCCGACUGCCCUCCUCCCUUUUUUCCUCAAUUCGAAAAUCAACCUUCACCUCCGGCACCAAUCCACCUCCACCGAUCCACCUCCGGUCCUUCACAGCUCCACCCAUUUCCAGAAUCAGAAGUUAGAGCGAAGCUACAAACGUCUUCUACCUUUGAAUUUCAAAGCCUAUAUCAGUUACAGAUGAAGAAAUUACCGAGAUGGUAUUGUUUCCAACGAUUAACGAGGCAUGUCGUGUUUUGGAUGAGGGUGUCGUUGCUCGAGCAUCAGACCUUGAUGUUGCAUCUGUACUCGGAAUGAGCUUCCCAUCCUACUGUGGUGGUAUCAUGUUCUGGGCAGAUACAGUUGGGUCGAAGCAUAUCUAUUUGAGCCUCAAGAAAUGGUCAGAAAGGUACGAUAGCUACUUUAAACCAUCGAGAUAUUUGGAAGAAAGAGCCAUGAAAGGCAUGCCAUUGUCAAAACAGAGGGUUCUUUUGCUUGUUGAAAUUUGAUGGACAUUACCUUUAGGUGAUGCUCACAGUGGAGAAUGAAAUUCCUGUAGCAACAAAAGGUGUGGUUAUGAUAAAAGCACAAAAGAACAUCACUGAUCAGAAGCUAAAAGACUUAAAAGCAAAGAAAAUUUCCCAAUGUUUAGAUUAUGCUUAUAUCUGUAUGGAAAUUGUUUGGUCAGGUGAAUGAGACUGCCGUUAUACAUUGCGGUUUUUAUAGUGAAAAUGGUGGUUUUAAAAUAUCUGAUGAAGACAAAAGUUAUAUGCAAAGUUGCAAAGUUGCAAAGUUGCGGUUUCUACUUGUGCGUUUGGUGGUGGAGAUGAUCUUUAUCAACCUAAAGGAAUGUCAGAGGCAUCACUUAAAAAGAUUGUACAGCAGAUCCAGAAUAUGAUGACUCAUGACAAAAGCGAUCGGGAAACGGUUUUGGUUCGUCGCAUGCUCCAGGACGGGUUACUUGAUGUUGUUUGUUUGAAGCAUUAGGGAGAUGCUGUUGGUUUAUGGAAUGCCAUAGGUUUUGUAAAACUUUGAGGAGUGUGGAAGUGUUAAAGUUAUUCAAAAUUAACAAGCUCACUAUAAAGCAUCAAAUUUAUAUUAGAUUCCCAUAAUAUACUUGCUGCAUAAAUUCCUUUGAUUUCCAUAA